This 468-nucleotide ribosomal RNA is filed under the name uncultured bacterium. RNAcentral's name for it is "partial 16S ribosomal RNA". It matches the Rfam family "Bacterial small subunit ribosomal RNA", at positions 28 to 507 of the family's 1533-position model. The record is from RNAcentral.
GAUGAACGCUGGCGGCGUGCUUAACACAUGCAAGUCGAACGGUGAACACGGAGCUUGCUCUGUGGGAUCAGUGGCGAACGGGUGAGUAACACGUGAGCAACCUGCCCCUGACUCUGGGAUAAGCGCUGGAAACGGCGUCUAAUACUGGAUAUGUGACGUGAUCGCAUGGUCUGCGUCUGGAAAGAAUUUCGGUUGGGGAUGGGCUCGCGGCCUAUCAGCUUGUUGGUGAGGUAAUGGCUCACCAAGGCGUCGACGGGUAGCCGGCCUGAGAGGGUGACCGGCCACACUGGGACUGAGACACGGCCCAGACUCCUACGGGAGGCAGCAGUGGGGAAUAUUGCACAAUGGGCGCAAGCCUGAUGCAGCAACGCCGCGUGAGGGAUGACGGCCUUCGGGUUGUAAACCUCUUUUAGCAGGGAAGAAGCGAGAGUGACGGUACCUGCAGAAAAAGCGCCGGCUAACUACGUG